GAACGAACGCUGGCGGCAGGCCUAACACAUGCAAGUCGAGCGCCCCGCAAGGGGAGCGGCGGACGGGUGAGUAACGCGUGGGAAUAUGCCCUUUGCUACGGAAUAGUCUCGGGAAACUGGGGGUAAUACCGUAUACGCCCUUUGGGGGAAAGAUUUAUCGGCGAAGGAUUAGCCCGCGUUGGAUUAGGUAGUUGGUGGGGUAAUGGCCUACCAAGCCGACGAUCCAUAGCUGGUUUGAGAGGAUGAUCAGCCACACUGGGACUGAGACACGGCCCAGACUCCUACGGGAGGCAGCAGUGGGGAAUCUUAGACAAUGGGGGCAACCCUGAUCUAGCCAUGCCGCGUGAGUGAUGAAGGCCUUAGGGUUGUAAAGCUCUUUCAGCUGGGAAGAUAAUGACGGUACCAGCAGAAGAAGCCCCGGCUAACUCCGUG
This 432-nucleotide ribosomal RNA is filed under the name uncultured bacterium. RNAcentral's name for it is "partial 16S ribosomal RNA". It matches the Rfam family "Bacterial small subunit ribosomal RNA", at positions 27 to 507 of the family's 1533-position model. The record is from RNAcentral.